Molecule: long non-coding RNA, 693 nt
Organism: Solanum pennellii
Lineage: Eukaryota; Viridiplantae; Streptophyta; Magnoliopsida; Solanales; Solanaceae
Exons: 2
Source: RefSeq, a predicted model, not a curated record
AUAAAAGUCAAAAUAUAGGGGUUGAUAUGAUAAAAUCAUGCAAGUUGAAGAGUUACUUUGUAAAAAACAAAAUAUUAAUAACAAAGGAUAUUUUUGUCCUAAAAAUUUAUGAUUCACCCUUAUUUAUGCCUUGCAAACCCUAGUUUCAAUUCCACAAUUUGAAUUAGCUUGACCAAAAUUCUUCUUCCCCAGUCCAGGCAUUCCAACAGUUGAUAACAUCUAGAUCUGCCAAUCCUUUGUAUUUUUGUUCUUCUAUUUUUCACAUGACAUCUUCAAAAUCCACUGUGAGCUUCAUCAUAAGCUAAGAAAUGGUGAGUUUUGAUGAUGUGAUGCCUAAAAUAGGAUUAAUGAAAGUACUGGUAAAAAGGUGUUCAAAUCUGGAGGUUAUGUUAAGCUGGUGGUAUGCUUUGAUUGGGAAAGAUGACUUAGGUCAAAAUAAAUAUAUCCAGAUCUGGCACAAUCUUGUGUUUGCUAAUGGUAGAAGAAAAUGGAAGCUUGUACAACACCAAACAAAGGUAACAAUGAUGGGAGUCUCAAGAUAUUCAUGUUUUUAUGCUCGGGAUGGAAGCAGAUUCAGAAUUUAAAAAUUUAUAGUAUCCUAUAGCGAUUUCAAGUGAAUUACUGAAUUCAUAGUCAAAUAACUAUAGUCAUUUAAUGAAUUCCUUAUAUAGGAUUCGAAUAGAAGUUAUUGAA